GAUGAACGCUAGCUACAGGCUUAACACAUGCAAGUCGAGGGGUAACGAGAGGAAAGCUUGCUUUCCUUGUCGACGACCGGCGCACGGGUGAGUAACGCGUAUCCAACCUGCCCCUAACUAGGGGAUAACCUUGCGAAAGUAAGACUAAUACCCUAUAAUUUCCUCAGAUGUCAUCUGACGAGGAAUAAAGAUUUAUCGGUUGUGGAUGGGGAUGCGUCUGAUUAGCUUGUUGGCGGGGUAACGGCCAGCCAAGGCAACGAUCAGUAGGGGUUCUGAGAGGAAGGUACCCAACCUUGCAACUGAGACAGUGUCCAAACGCCUACGGGGGGGAGCAGUGAGGAAUAGUGGACAAUGGGCUGAAGCCUGAACAAGCCAAGUAGAGUGCAGGAUGACGGCCCUAUGGGUUGUAAACUGCUUUUAUACAGGAAUAAAGUUAGCCACGUGUGGUUAUUUGUAGGUACUGUAUGAAUAAGGACCGGCUAAUUCCGUGCCAGCCGCCGCGGUAA
RNAcentral lists this ribosomal RNA (506 nucleotides) under uncultured bacterium. Its description in RNAcentral is "partial 16S ribosomal RNA". It matches the Rfam family "Bacterial small subunit ribosomal RNA", at positions 28 to 523 of the family's 1533-position model. The record is from RNAcentral.